Molecule: long non-coding RNA, 473 nt
Organism: Lacerta agilis (Sand lizard)
Lineage: Eukaryota; Metazoa; Chordata; Lepidosauria; Squamata; Lacertidae
Exons: 4
Source: RefSeq, a predicted model, not a curated record
UUCUUCCUUUGCUCCCCAUAGAUAUUGGAAGGUGUGGGGAAAGGCAGUUCGCUAGCAGCAGUAGCAGGGGGCUGAGCUUGCUGGGGCCUCGUAUGAAGGCCGCUUCAUAAUUGCUGCCAAGAAUAUGAGAGCAACAUUCAUGGGCAAGGCACUUAAACGUGCAAGUUGAAAGAUCUCUGCCCCAAAGACCUUACAAUCUAACCUUCUACACAGGGGAUAUGUGUGUUCCUCCUCAGUGAAUUAAUUCCAGCUAUCGCAACAUCACUGCCUGUGGAGAAGCUGAUUUGAGCGAGUCGUGGAUUGCUUUGGUUCAUCCGGUCUGCAAAAGGAGUUUCAAGUCCUAUUAGGCCUCUUGGUGACACUGUCGGUAGGCUGCAGGCUUGGAGAGGACAGGGCAUUCGUUGCCAUGGCGACCUGUGACCUUGUGCAUGCACUGUACCACACGGGACUGAAGGCCUUUCCCACAAGUUGAG